Molecule: long non-coding RNA, 452 nt
Organism: Girardinichthys multiradiatus
Lineage: Eukaryota; Metazoa; Chordata; Actinopteri; Cyprinodontiformes; Goodeidae
Exons: 4
Source: RefSeq, a predicted model, not a curated record
CAUUUUGGCAGUGUUUGACUGAUGCUUUAUUGCUGCCACAGAUUCUGUCUGGAGGGAAGGCAUCAAGAUUAUGCCAAGAUUAUGCCAAUCUGCCAUCUUCAACCAGGACACUAAGAUGUGUAAUAUAUUUAGACUCGGAAAAUACUCGAAGGAUAUGAAAUAGUUUGGGUUGAGUGCUGUUUAUCAUUUUCCUGGUUGGUCGGUUGUAGUUCACGGCAACUGUGAGUGUGCUUUAUGGAUGAAGUUAAGAUCUUGACUAAUCAACCUGCUGCCUCCUGCCUCGCCCCUGGAUUUGUCUGCCUGAGCCUGCCUCCUGGGUUUCACCCAGUUACUGCCCCCCCCGACCACCAAGUCUUGGAUCUUCCCCCCUUGUCGGCAAUCCGACUUCUGGCUGCGGCGUGUUCUGCACCGAUCCUCCCGGUCUGGAGACUGCCAGGACCGCACCCCGCAAA